GUUGCCAUUCACCAUUAAUCGGUGACAUGUGACAAUAAAAAGAAGAUUGCGUUACAGAUUUUGUUGAAAGCUAAUACAAUGUGUCAUGUGUGCAUAUAUAACGUGUCCAUCUACGGUUAUGAACGAAGAAUCCAAAUAGAAGAAAGAAACGAGACUUGUUGGUAAAAAAUAAAUUUAAGGACAAAGAUCCAUUCUUAAAAGAAGGGCCACCCCUCAAAAUAGCAAAACGUUGAAAGCUUUAUCACCAUUAGUUACUUAUAUAAUAAUGUGAUGUACGUUGGUCUUGGUGCAUAGCUUUAAAUUAAAAAUGAGCUCGAACUUUGAUGGACAAAUAAAGACUAGAGAAGGUCACCGCUUGAGUAAUUACU
Molecule: long non-coding RNA, 368 nt
Organism: Arabidopsis thaliana (thale cress)
Lineage: Eukaryota; Viridiplantae; Streptophyta; Magnoliopsida; Brassicales; Brassicaceae
Product: other RNA
Exons: 1
Source: RefSeq